AUUGAACGCUGGCGGAAUGCUUUACACAUGCAAGUCGAGCGGCAGCGCGGGGCAACCUGGCGGCGAGCGGCGAACGGGUGAGUAAUGCAUCGGAACAUGUCCAGUCGUGGGGGAUAGCCCGCCGAAAGGCGGAUUAAUACCGCAUACGCCCGGGAGGGGAAAGCGGGGGACCGUAAGGCCUCGCGCGAUUGGGUUGGCCGAUGUCCGAUUAGCUUGUUGGUGAGGUAAAGGCUUACCAAGGCGAUGAUCG
RNAcentral lists this ribosomal RNA (250 nucleotides) under uncultured bacterium. RNAcentral describes it as "partial 16S ribosomal RNA". It matches the Rfam family "Bacterial small subunit ribosomal RNA", at positions 30 to 282 of the family's 1533-position model. The record is from RNAcentral.